RNAcentral lists this unclassified non-coding RNA (1596 nucleotides) under Hevea brasiliensis (rubber tree). The record is from RNAcentral. Lineage: Eukaryota; Viridiplantae; Streptophyta; Magnoliopsida; Malpighiales; Euphorbiaceae.
GAAGCAGUAGAAAGAAGAGGGCGGUGCAAAGAACAGAAGGCUCAAUGGCUAGCAGCAACAAUUUCUUCCCGUCAGCAUCUGUCACCAGCAGCGGCCGCCCAGUGUUCCUUCCCAACGAGAUUGAAUGCCAACUUCUUUCAGCCGUGGACCUUGAAUCUGAUGAUGGCCCCAGCUUCCCUUCCCUCAAAUCAGGUCUCCUCAUCCUCACCACCCACCGCCUCAUCUGGAUCCCUUCCAAUUCCUCUGCCCAUUCCAAUGCCAUUGCUAUCCCUUUGUCCCUCAUCACCCAUAUAUUCUCUUCCAAAAAAUCCAUCAAAUCCAUCUUUCACUCCCCUCGGAUUCGCUUCCAAGUCUCCUUGAAUUCCAAGAGCCUUGUUGUCACAGUGGUGGCCAGAGGGAAGGGGGAUUGGGAUGGGUUUUUGCCUAAGUUCUGGGAGAAUUGGAGGGGAAGGGCUUGGGAGACUAGUGCUGGGGGUUCCACUGCUGAUGGUUCUGUUACAACUUCGAUUUCUGGUACAAGUUCUAAUUCAGGUGGGUUUUAUUUAAAUGAUGGGUCAGUGAGAAUGGUGGGAUUGGCAGGGAUACUAAGGAAGGAACAGGAGAUGUGGGAGAGUACGGACAAGAGCUUACAGGAGGCUUUCCAAGACUUGAAUGCACUAAUGAGCAAGGCUAAAGAGAUGGUGAUGCUAGCAGAGAAAAUGAGGCAAAAGCUCUUGUCUGGCUCAAACUCGGAAACUAAUGCAGGUAACAAUGAGGAAAUGGGUUCUAAAGAGGAGAUGCAAGAUUGGUUGUUAAGCGUUGGUAUCAUAUCUCCUGUAACAAAAGAAUCUGCGGGUGCCUUGUAUCAUCAACAGUUGUCUCGACAGUUGGCAGAUUUUGUAAGAACUCCACUAGAAAGAGCUGGAGGGAUGAUCAAUCUUAUAGAUAUCUAUUGUCUCUUUAAUCGUGCUCGGGGCACAGAAUUGAUCUCACCUGAGGAUUUGUUGCAAGCAUGUACUCUAUGGGAGAAAUUUGAUGCACCAGUCAUGCUUCGAAAGUUUGAUAGUGGAGUCAUGGUCAUCCAGAACAAGUCCCAUAGUGACGAGGAGGUUUUUACCCGGAUCAAAACCCUUGUCACAAAGCCUGAUGCCCUCCAAGCUGGAAUAACUGCUAGUGAUGCUGCAAUGACUUUGGGUAUUGCUCCGGCUAUGGCUAAGGAGCAUCUUCUAACUGCUGAGAGCAGAGGUAUACUAUGUAGGGAUAUAAGCCCUGAUGGCUUUCGCUUUUACAUUAACCUCUUUCCUGAAAUCGAUUCUGAUGACAUGCACAUGGUGAAAGAUCAUGGGAUUUAUUCUCUUUGGGUUCGGGUUGUAUCUGCUUAGUAAAAAGGCGUUCAUUUUUUGCUUUGAGUUGGAAUGACAACGCGGUGUUGAGAUUUCAUAGCCAUUGGCAGAGUUGUUGGGUCCGUGGCUGGUAAGUGUGUUGUUUACCUGAGAGCUGCAAUUUGUUUUAGGAUGCAGCUUUUAUUUUGAUCCUGGAAGCAAAAGUCAUAAGGCGCUAUUGUAAACGUUUCAAACAGCUGAAACAUUUAUUAUAUCUUGCUAGAACUGUUUUUUU